UGGGGUGGGGCUCGGUGGCAGAGCACUUGCCUAGCACGUGUGAGACACUGGGUUCGAUCCUCAGCGCCAUAU
RNAcentral lists this transfer RNA (72 nucleotides) under Marmota monax (woodchuck). Its description in RNAcentral is "tRNA.Ala". Lineage: Eukaryota; Metazoa; Chordata; Mammalia; Rodentia; Sciuridae. The record is from RNAcentral.